This 492-nucleotide ribosomal RNA is filed under the name uncultured bacterium. RNAcentral describes it as "partial 16S ribosomal RNA". It matches the Rfam family "Bacterial small subunit ribosomal RNA", at positions 29 to 507 of the family's 1533-position model. The record is from RNAcentral.
AGUGAACGCUGGCGGUAGGCCUAACACAUGCAAGUCGAACGGCAGCACAGUAAGAGCUUGCUCUUACGGGUGGCGAGUGGCGGACGGGUGAGGAAUACAUCGGAAUCUACUUUUUCGUGGGGGAUAACGUAGGGAAACUUACGCUAAUACCGCAUACGCCCUACGGGUGAAAGCAGGGGAUCUUCGGACCUUGCGCGAUUGAAUGAGCCGAUGUCGGAUUAGCUAGUUGGCGGGGUAAAGGCCCACCAAGGCGACGAUCCGUAGCUGGUCUGAGAGGAUGAUCAGCCACACUGGAACUGAGACACGGUCCAGACUCCAACGGGAGGCAGCAGUGGGGAAUAUUGGACAAUGGGCGCAAGCCUGAUCCAGCCAUACCGCGUGGGUGAAGAAGGCCUUCGGGUUGUAAAGCCCUUUUGUUGGGAAAGAAAAGCAGCAGGUUAAUACCCCGCUGUUCUGACGGUACCCAAAGAAUAAGCACCGGCUAACUUCGUG